CUUCACGGAGCCGAGGAGCAGCGGCUGCCCCUCCGGCCGCUCCUGGCCGUACGUGGCGAGCAGCGCGUCCGCCUC
Molecule: non-coding RNA, 75 nt
Organism: Streptomyces sp. NRRL F-6491
Lineage: Bacteria; Bacillati; Actinomycetota; Actinomycetes; Kitasatosporales; Streptomycetaceae
Source: Rfam